This is a non-coding RNA of Pelobates cultripes (western spadefoot toad), 160 nucleotides long. Lineage: Eukaryota; Metazoa; Chordata; Amphibia; Anura; Pelobatidae. The record is from the annotation of a GenBank genome assembly.
GCAGACACAUUCCAGCCAAUCAGCAGCAGACCCUCCCUCCCAGACCCUCCCACCUCCUGGACAGCAUCCAUUUGCAUUCACAUGAAUUUAAUGUGAGCUGUCCAGGAGGUGGGAGGGUCUGGGAGGGAGGGUCUGCUGCUGAUUGGCUGGAAUGUGUCUG